GAGGAAUUAGUUUAAUUUUAAAACAUUAACUUGUCAAGUUAAAAAUAUUAAUUUUUAAUAUUCCUUA
This 67-nucleotide transfer RNA is filed under the name Aethus nigritus. RNAcentral describes it as "tRNA-Asp". It matches the Rfam family "tRNA". From Rfam's summary of the family: Transfer RNA (tRNA) molecules are approximately 80 nucleotides in length. Lineage: Eukaryota; Metazoa; Arthropoda; Insecta; Hemiptera; Cydnidae. The record is from RNAcentral.